AAAAUGAAAACUAGGGCAUAAAGAUCCCAAGAACAAUGCUGCAAAAAUAUCUAGAAGAAAGUACAAAAGUGGAAAAAGUUGGUAAAAAUGAGGUAUGGUGCUCAAAAGUGGCACCUGCUACUUAUAGACCACUGCUGGGCUGUCAUGUUCGCUAGGCGAGCAGAAUGGCUCGCCUAGCGAGGGUCUAAAAUGGGCACAAAAGGCCCCUGCGCCCAGAGAAAACAGGGCCUGCUGAACUGUCAUGUUCGCCUAGCGAACAUACCUUCGCCUAGCGAAGGACACGCUUCAACCUUCGCCCCAGCGAGGUUGAGAGGUUUUGCUACUGGAAUGCUCGCUGGGGACUCGCUAGAGCUUCGCCUAGCGAGUGAGUGCUGGCUGCGUUUUUCACCAAAACAGAAUGAACUCGCUACCACAUUCGCCUUGAGCUCGCCUAGCGAAUUAAUUUGCUAAUUUACUGGAGCUUUUCGCCUGGAACUCGCCUAGCGAACCAAUGCUUCGCCACAGCCUCGCCUAGCGAGCAGGCUGAUGAAAUGCUUGUAUUCUUUGGUUCCUUUGCCAAUUUUCUUGUGUCUUCAUUUUCAAUUAGUUCAUGUCUUUCCUGCACAAUAACACACAAAUCAAAGGCACCAAGCUUGUUUAUCAAUGUAAUGCAUUCCAUGUAAAACAAAUGUGGUUUUGACAAUUUUAGCAAGGAAAAAGAGUGAAAGAUGCCCACAUAUGAUAGCUCAAAUAAGCACUUUUGGGCAUCUAACAACUCUCCCCAACUAGAUUCUUGCUUGUCCUCAAGCAAAGUAUGCCUCUUGAAGGACAAGAGGAUUUGCUUUAAGAAAAUGGUUUCUCCGAAGUUGGAUAAACGGCUCAAACACAAGCGAAAUCAGCAUAUACAAGUUUCCAACGGUUCGAAUAAAAUAAUACAUAAGAACUAAAACUUAAAUAGCAAUGCAAAAUAUUUAUCUAUCUACAACAAUACUAUUCUGAAUGAAUCAUCCUAUCUCUCCUCUUCGAAUAAGGAAUGAAGAUUUUGCGCGUUUGCAACCGCGGGACUAAUCUCACUCUCUAACAAAUAAUGAAGAAAUCAAAUAGAUUCAUACAAUGUCUAACAAUUAAAAAUGGUACUGUGGAAGCAUAAAGAUCACUAAGGGCUUUUCGGUUGAAGCUUGGUUAGGUUAACAAACAAGGGUCAUUUCUAAGGCCAUUGAAACGAAAGUGCCGAUGCAAAAGAGACAUUCACAGUAUUAUUCACACUACUCGACUUUGUUUCCUUUGUUUCUUAUUUGUAACCUUCACAACACAUAUUCCACAACUCCACUUUUAUUUUUCACUAUUUUUCUUCCAAGCAAGCAUUUUUUUUUCAUUCUUUCUAUUUUUGUUCUUUUCUUUCACAUCAAAUAUACAAAACAGAUGUUUAUUUUCUACAUUUUCUAUACAUAUAUUUUUCUAUGCUUGCUCGGUUUUUCUUUUCUUUUUCAAGAGUUGUGGUACUUACCAAUUCUUUUUCGUUCUCCCCAACUUAUUUCUUCCACACCCUAAGUGAAUGCUCUUAACUUUUUACGGCAAAAGAACAAUAAUCAAGAUUUUCCGGGUUGUAAAAAAAAGAUUUUUGAGAUCUCGCUUUAUUUCAAGCCGAGAUUCAACUG
This 1637-nucleotide long non-coding RNA is filed under the name Lathyrus oleraceus (garden pea). RNAcentral describes it as "Pisum sativum (pea) long non-coding RNA (PSAT_LNC020391)". Lineage: Eukaryota; Viridiplantae; Streptophyta; Magnoliopsida; Fabales; Fabaceae. The record is from RNAcentral.